RNAcentral lists this long non-coding RNA (1227 nucleotides) under Homo sapiens (human). RNAcentral describes it as "HSALNT0265153". The record is from RNAcentral. Lineage: Eukaryota; Metazoa; Chordata; Mammalia; Primates; Hominidae.
GUAAAAUUUGCCUGAACUCUGAGGCUGCAUGUAAGACACUUAGACUAUCAUUACAUUAAUGAAUCUGAGUAUUUCCUUUGAGUGCACACAUUAGAACUACUACAGCCAGCCCUCAUUUCUCACUGCUGGGGAACGGGGGUGGUCAGAUCCUGCCACCUGUGGAGAGGGGCUCAGAACCUGAGGACCACGGGUGGCCAGGGAGGAGCUCCUAGACGGCCUUCACCUCUGUAACCAGCCUUCGGUUUCCUGGGGGAAAUAUCACUACACAUAAUUAGCUCCAUUGCUUCCCUUUCUUCCCAUUUCCCCACCAUGAUUCUGUGGGCUGGGUUUUCCCUCACGUAGUAGGUUUGAGGGUGCUCUUAACUCUAUUCCAAGCCUCCUUGCCAAAAAGCAGGCUCUGAUCCUUUUCACAGUUUGUUUCUUCAGUUCCAACCAGAGACUCAAAAAGUGUGAACCCGGCCCCACUGCAAACAUUACCCGCCCACACUAUCUGUCACCAAGACCCAGUGUCCGUUGUUCCAUUUGAAUAGGUGGCUCUCAGCUUUGGCUGUCAGCUUGAAGUCACCCGGAGCCUUUUAAAACUCCCAAUGCCCCAGCUGCCCAGACCAUCAGAAUCUCUGCAGAGGCGACCCAGCCAGCCAUAUUUAUUUUAAACUUCCAAGGUGCUUCUGCUGUGAAAACUACUAGUUUAGAUCAAAAUCUGGAUUUUAAUAUAAAAACACACCUGCGAGAAGUAACACCUUUGCCUAACCAAGACCACUGACACCUAACCAAGCAUGCAUUCUCAACCUGAUUUGGCUGGCAGAGGACCAUGGAACAUGUACUUCUAGCCUGGUGCUAUCCCGUAGAAAUACGAAGCAAGCCACAUAAUAGCCUAUUGAUGUACGAUCAUAUGCAGAAAAGACUUAUGCAUCUAUUAUCUACUGAAAGAAAAACUACAGAAAACAAUAAAAUGCUAGAGACUCUUUAACCAAUCAGAAAAAAAUACGUAAGUGAAGCAGCUACGACAUCACAAAGCUUCUAUUUUUCGCUAGCACAUGAAAAUAUGAGACCUGACAAAUUGCAAACUCUCAUUGAACAGAUAGUUUAGGGUUUUGCCUUGAAAACCAUAGUCCACGGAUCAAGCAUCACAUCUUUUGGGAGUUUGUGAGAAUCUCAGACCCCUGGCAGACCUGCUGGAUCAGAAUCUGCAUUUUAACAAGAUUCACGAGCACAUUAGAGUUGGCU